Molecule: ribosomal RNA, 460 nt
Filed under: uncultured bacterium
Lineage: Bacteria
Description: partial 16S ribosomal RNA
Rfam family: Bacterial small subunit ribosomal RNA
Source: RNAcentral
CCUACGUGUGGCAGCAGUGAGGAAUAUUGGUCAAUGGUCGGGAGACUGAACCAGCCAAGCCGCGUGAGGGAUGAAGGUACAGAGUAUCGUAAACCUCUUUUGUCAGGGAACAAAGGCGGGGACGCGUCCCCGGAUGAGUGUACCUGAAGAAAAAGCAUCGGCUAACUCCGUGCCAGCACCCGCGGUAAUACGGAGGAUGCGAGCGUUAUCCGGAUUUACUGGGUGUAAAGGGAGCGUAGACGGCGCUGCAAGUCCGGAGUGAAAGCCCAUGGCUUAACCAUGGUACUGCUCUGGAAACUGUAGGGCUGGAGUGCGGGAGGGGCAGGCGGAAUUCCUAGUGUAGCGGUGAAAUGCGUAGAUAUUAGGAGGAACACCGGCGGCGAAGGCGGCCUGCUGGACCGUAACUGACGUUGAGGCUCGAAAGCGUGGGGAGCAAACAGGAUUAGAUACCCCUGUAGUC